Molecule: unclassified non-coding RNA, 376 nt
Filed under: uncultured bacterium
Lineage: Bacteria
Description: contains 16S-23S intergenic spacer region
Source: RNAcentral
UCCCCGUUAUCCGGGGCGGUUUCGCUAGAGUGCCCGGCUUGACCCGCUGGCAACUAACGAUAAGGGUUGCGCUCGUUGCGGGACUUAACCCAACAUCUCACGACACGAGCUGACGACAGCCAUGCACCACCUGUUUAGGGCCCCGAAGGACACCGUAUUUCUACGGCUUUUCCCUAAAUGUCAAACCCUGGUAAGGUUCUGCGCGUUGCGUCGAAUUAAACCACACGCUCCGCUGCUUGUGCGGGCCCCCGCCUAUUCCUUUGAGUUUUAACCUUGCGGCCGUAGUCCCCAGGCGGUGAACUUAAUGCGUUAGCUGCGGCACUGAUCGGGUCAAUCCGACCAACACCUAGUUCACAACGUUUAGGGCGUGGACUAC